GCAGUAGAACGCUGAAGACUUUAGCUUGCUAAAGUUGGAAGAGUUGCGAACGGGUGAGUAACGCGUAGGUAACCUGCCUACUAGCGGGGGAUAACUAUUGGAAACGAUAGCUAAUACCGCAUAACAGCAUUUAACUCAUGUUAGAUGCUUGAAAGGAGCAAUUGCUUCACUAGUAGAUGGACCUGCGUUGUAUUAGCUAGUUGGUGAGGUAACGGCUCACCAAGGCGACGAUACAUAGCCGACCUGAGAGGGUGAUCGGCCACACUGGGACUGAGACACGGCCCAGACUCCUACGGGAGGCAGCAGUAGGGAAUCUUCGGCAAUGGGGGCAACCCUGACCGAGCAACGCCGCGUGAGUGAAGAAGGUUUUCGGAUCGUAAAGCUCUGUUGUAAGAGAAGAACGUGUGUGAGAGUG
Molecule: ribosomal RNA, 415 nt
Filed under: Streptococcus lutetiensis
Lineage: Bacteria; Bacillati; Bacillota; Bacilli; Lactobacillales; Streptococcaceae
Description: bacterial SSU rRNA
Rfam family: Bacterial small subunit ribosomal RNA
Source: RNAcentral